ACGCACCUUAGGAGUAAUGUCUGAAAAAUUGCUAGUGAGAUCUGAGGCGAUAUCCUAAUGGAUCAUCAGCCACAGCUACGUAGUGGGACUUACCCAGUAGCGAGAAGAGGGUUUUGUUUCCCAUUUCACUGAGGCAUGCGUAGUGCUGCUCUGCACCAUGGAAACGCUCGUCUCAGUCCCUGCAGUGGGAGCGGUGAAGGAUGAGGCUGUUGAAGUGACACAAAUUAUCUCUCCAUCAGGGUGUGAGGUUGAGUUUUUCAUGCCCAGUGCUCAGAGGUUGCAGUAGCUCGGUGUCAGCACUGGCUCCUGCAGCAGUGCUUGGCAUUGCUAAGGGGACAAAGCCUCCCCCACCUACACACUUCCCAAGGUAACCACUUGUCUUUCUGCAGCUAAAUCAAAGCUCCUCACAGGGCAAACUGAGAGAAACAACGAAGUAAAGAGAGGGAAAGCAAUCGGCAGUCCCAUAAUCCAUUCUUGGACUUUGUGGUAAAUUGCAUUCUGAGUUUCUUGGGGCCAAGCCUAGGUUCUGGGAAGCAAGGGAACUGUGUCUGGGUAUCUGGAUGUAAAACUCAUGGUACAUGUGACAUUAAUUUUACUCAUGGUACAUGUUUCUCAGCAGGCUGCAGCCCCUUUUCUGAAGCCUGCCGGUAACCUGGACCAUCACACUGCUAUUUAAAAAGAAUAGUGUAUCAGGAGCAAUCAUUGAUAUAGCACCCUACUUGGUUCAAGCUAUUGUUUUAUUAAUUCACUGUAAGGAGAUAAUGGGAGCUCAUACAAAACCUAGCCACUUUUAGCACCUCAAGCACUUUUGCCAGUCCUGGCAGCGCUUCGCAGGUAAUCAAUAGUGACAGGGCAGUGCCUUUGAACAGGGAGCUGCUCGUUCGGGUUACAAACACCUUGUGGAGAAGAUGUCCUUUGAUAAAACCCACCAGCCACGCAAUUAGUAGUUUUUGGCUUAAGAAUGCAUUAUUUUCCCGUCAGGGAGAACAGAGGAGCUGCCCUGCUACACCCACCUCGCGUAAGGCCCAGUGCCAUGCUGCCUGCACUGGGGUGCCGGGGAACUCGGUCAAGGCAUCGAGCCUGUAGGACUGGAGCCGGAGCCACCGUCUGCCUAACUCAGGAAGAAACUGGUCUAAGACAGAAUAAAAGGAAUAACAAGCCAUUUUUUAUCUCUUCUACUGAAUGGAAAUUAAAGAAGCCCUCAGUGCCAGUGGACUUCUGGUUGUGGGGAGAAAAACAGUCAAAAGCCUAGGAUUUUUCCCUCUUUUUUUUUUUUUUUUUUUAAAAUCUAUUUCUGACUUGUCCUUUUUAUCUUACUUGCAUGACAACCCCUUCAUGCCUCAGGCUUCUUCAUGUCUCCAAAACAUCUAUAAAGGGAUUGCAGUAUAACUUCUCUUGUCAACAAAAAUUCUCCUCAUCAGACAAAUUGCUACCUAGAACAGUCCUCUGAAUGACAGUCAGCAUCCUUGGAGCAAGGGGAGGGGUGAGAAAGGUGAGACUGCCAGGACAUUUUCAGACAUAAGGAAGAGUCAUAUCAUCUACCACUCACCCUCCUGUGCUUAAAUUGCCCUCUCCAUACGGCACCAGCCAGC
Long non-coding RNA from Anser cygnoides (Swan goose), 1592 nucleotides. The record is from Ensembl. Lineage: Eukaryota; Metazoa; Chordata; Aves; Anseriformes; Anatidae.